This 253-nucleotide ribosomal RNA is filed under the name uncultured bacterium. Its description in RNAcentral is "partial 16S ribosomal RNA". It matches the Rfam family "Bacterial small subunit ribosomal RNA", at positions 524 to 776 of the family's 1533-position model. The record is from RNAcentral.
UACGUAGGCAGCAAGCGUUGUUCGGAAUUACUGGGCGUAAAGAGUGUGUAGGCGGUGCUCUAAGUUCGGUGUGAAAUCUCCCGGCUUAACUGGGAGGGUGCGCCGGAAACUGGAGUGCUCGAGCGUGGGAGAGGAAAGCGGAAUUCCUGGUGUAGCGGUGAAAUGCGUAGAUAUCAGGAGGAACACCUAUAGCGAAGGCAGCUUGCUGGGACGUUACUGACGCUAAGGCGCGAAAGCGUGGGGAGCGAACAGG